This 253-nucleotide ribosomal RNA is filed under the name uncultured bacterium. RNAcentral describes it as "partial 16S ribosomal RNA". It matches the Rfam family "Bacterial small subunit ribosomal RNA", at positions 524 to 776 of the family's 1533-position model. The record is from RNAcentral.
UACAGGGGGUGCAAACGUUGCUCGGAAUUAUUGGGCGUAAAGCGCGCGUAGGCGGCUACUUAAGUCGGAUGUGAAAGCCCUUGGCUCAACUGAGGAAGUGCACCCGAAACUGAGUGGCUUGAGUACUAAAGAGGGUCGCGGAAUUCCCGGUGUAGAGGUGAAAUUCGUAGAUAUUCGGAAGAGCACCAGUGGCGAAGGCGGCUCACUGGACUGGUAUUGACGCUGAGGUGCGAAAGCGUGGGGAGCAAACAGG